This 1961-nucleotide long non-coding RNA is filed under the name Mus musculus (house mouse). RNAcentral describes it as "bone marrow associated noncoding RNA". Lineage: Eukaryota; Metazoa; Chordata; Mammalia; Rodentia; Muridae. The record is from RNAcentral.
AUGAGAGGAAUUUGGAUUUUAUCCCUAAGAGAGACAUGGAGGAGACGGGGAAAGGCUUUCUGAAUAAUAUGAACCAAAGCUCCAUCCAUCAAUCCUGCUGUGCCCCAUGAAGACUUUAACCCUUAGAAUAAGAAUUGCCUGCCCCAUUUCUACAAAAUGAGUGUGUUCUUUGAGCAGAAGAGGAGAGAAGAGAAGAAAUGGAACAAUCUUUGCUUUGGAAAUUUAGCUGACUGGCCUCAUUUGGAAUAAGAGCGCCUUCAAUCCCUGGCCGCAGGCGGGCAGUGGAGCCAACAGUAACACCGGAUGCUGGGAUGCUGGGAGGAGGUCUGGAAGCAUCAGAGGAGAUGCCAGGGAACUUGGAGUCCAGAAGGCGGUAGUGGGUUCCUCUCUGGGGAUGAGUCCCAGUUUCCUCAACUUUGUCCAGACCCCUUGUCCUCAGGCUAAAACCUACUAUUUAUUGGAUAGAGCAUUAUCCUGGAAGCACUAAGAGAUUGGAGGAGAAGGUCCUGAGAAGAGCCAGAGGCCGGGUCUGCUUUGUGUCCUCGGCACCUACUUUCAGUCCAUGACACAUGAAAAGAGCUGGAGUCAGAAGGACCAGGUAACCCUCCUACCAAGGGCCUGGCCUUGCCUUUCUGGUGACUCAGGGGUGAGGCUUGAACUGCUUAUGGAGCUGACCCACUACAGACUGGUGCCAUCUGUGAUGGAAUGUUAAGAAAGGGAGUUGGUAGAAUGAAUCCUUCUCUUUAGCAAAAACGUUUCCUGCUCUGGCAAUGCUGCGUUACAACGGUGAGAAAAAGACAGAAUGAGAACAAACUACCUACUAAACAGAGCCUGCAUUAUAUCUGGGAUCCCGAGCUUUCUAAGUGAUGGCAAGUCUUAGCUCUGUUCUGAUCCUACCAAGAGGGGCUGGAGAGCAGAGAACAGAGCUUCUGCUCUGAGUGUGUGGUUCCAAAGAAAGAAUUUCUGGUCCUGCCCGAAGUCAGAAGCUUUAAGUCGUCCAUUUCUUCCUCCACCGCCUUUACCUGCUUCCUCUUUUGUCUUAUUGCAGAAAGUGCUGUUACUUUUGGGGGGCUGAAGGUCCCCCAAACACCACUUUCCAUAGGCCUGCGCUGCCCCCAUUGUCUAGUGUGAGUCCUAGCCUUGGCUUUUCCUGUGAGAGAUUGGUUGGUGAACAUCAGGGAUUGAGUGCUCUUACAGCAAGGAUCUCCCUGGAGUCCUCAGCCAUCUCCUGGGACCCUGGCUUGCAAGAGAAGCUUCUGUCUUGGCUUCCCAGGUACUCCCCUCUCUCUCAUGCACACACACGCACACUUGUUAGAAUUAAUAAACAGAUUCUGUAAAACUGUAGCCCACAGGGCCAGCAAGAUGGCUCCAUGGGUGGAAGCUCGGCCCAUGAAACCCUAUGCCUGAGCUUGUCCCUGGAACCACAAGGCAGAAGGAGAGAACAGACUCUGUUAGUUUCCCUCUGAUCUCCACACACACACACACACAUACACACACUGUGGUGUUCUCCCCUCCCCCACCCUCCCUUACCACCAAAAACCAAAUGCAAAAUAAAAAUCUUUAAUCAUAGGAUGCAAUGUCAACAACAAAAGUCUGUACACUUUUAUAUACAAAUAAUGUUCUAGCAUUUCUAUAUACAAAUGAUGACCUAGAAAUCAACAAUCCUAUUUGCGAUAACUUAAAAAUAAGAUUCUUGGGUCUAGAGAGAUGGCUCAGCAGUUUAGAGGACCUGUUGCUCUUAUAGACGACCCGGGUUUGACUCCCAAAGCCCACAUAGCAACUCACAACCAUCUGUAACUCCCAUUCCAGGGCAUCAGCACCUUCUCUGUCUUCCGACUUCCAAGGGCACUGGGUAUGCAGGCGGUGCACAUGCACAGAUACAGGCAAAACAUUCAUACAUAUAAAAUUAAUUAAAUAAAUCUUUAGCAGUUACAAAAUAAAAUUCUUAGCCAAUAAAGCUA